RNAcentral lists this ribosomal RNA (465 nucleotides) under Vreelandella stevensii. RNAcentral describes it as "partial 16S ribosomal RNA". It matches the Rfam family "Bacterial small subunit ribosomal RNA", at positions 338 to 795 of the family's 1533-position model. Lineage: Bacteria; Pseudomonadati; Pseudomonadota; Gammaproteobacteria; Oceanospirillales; Halomonadaceae. The record is from RNAcentral.
CCUACGGGGGGCUGCAGUGGGGAAUAUUGGACAAUGGGGGCAACCCUGAUCCAGCCAUGCCGCGUGUGUGAAGAAGGCCCUCGGGUUGUAAAGCACUUUCAGUGAGGAAGAACGCCUGGUGGUUAAUACCCAUCAGGAAAGACAUCACUCACAGAAGAAGCACCGGCUAACUCCGUGCCAGCAGCCGCGGUAAUACGGAGGGUGCGAGCGUUAAUCAGAAUUACUGGGCGUAAAGCGCGCGUAGGUGGCUUGAUAAGCCGGUUGUGAAAGCCCCGGGCUCAACCUGGGAACGGCAUCCGGAACUGUCAAGCUAGAGUGCAGGAGAGGAAGGUAGAAUUCCCGGUGUAGCGGUGAAAUGCGUAGAGAUCGGGAGGAAUACCAGUGGCGAAGGCGGCCUUCUGGACUGACACUGACACUGAGGUGCGACAGCGUGGGUAGCAAACAGGAUUAGAUACCCUGGUAGUC